RNAcentral lists this ribosomal RNA (1430 nucleotides) under uncultured bacterium. RNAcentral's name for it is "bacterial SSU rRNA". It matches the Rfam family "Bacterial small subunit ribosomal RNA". The record is from RNAcentral.
AGAGUUUGAUCCUGGCUCAGGACGAACGCUGGCGGCGUGCCUAAUACAUGCAAGUCGAACGCACUCUCGUUUAGAUUGUAGGAGCUUGCUCCUGAUUGAUAAACAUUUGAGUGAGUGGCGGACGGGUGAGUAACACGUGGGUAACCUGCCCUAGAGUGGAGGAUAACAUUUGGAAACAGGUGCUAAUACCGCAUAAAACCUAACACCGCAUGGUGUAGGGUUGAAAGAUGGUUUCGGCUAUCACUUUAGGAUGGACCCGCGGUGCAUUAGUUAGUUGGUGAGGUAAAGGCUCACCAAGACCGUGAUGCAUAGCCGACCUGAGAGGGUAAUCGGCCACACUGGGACUGAGACACGGCCCAGACUCCUACGGGAGGCAGCAGUAGGGAAUCUUCCACAAUGGACGAAAGUCUGAUGGAGCAACGCCGCGUGAGUGAAGAAGGUUUUCGGAUCGUAAAACUCUGUUGUUGGAGAAGAAUGUAUCUGAUAGUAACUGAUCAGGUAGUGACGGUAUCCAACCAGAAAGCCACGGCUAACUACGUGCCAGCAGCCGCGGUAAUACGUAGGUGGCAAGCGUUGUCCGGAUUUAUUGGGCGUAAAGCGAGCGCAGGCGGUUUCUUAAGUCUGAUGUGAAAGCCUUCGGCUCAACCGAAGAAGUGCAUCGGAAACUGGGAAACUUGAGUGCAGAAGAGGACAGUGGAACUCCAUGUGUAGCGGUGAAAUGCGUAGAUAUAUGGAAGAACACCAGUGGCGAAGGCGGCUGUCUGGUCUGUAACUGACGCUGAGGCUCGAAAGCAUGGGUAGCAAACAGGAAUAGAUACCCUGGUAGUCCAUGCCGUAAACGAUGAGUGCUAGGUGUUGGAGGGUUUCCGCCCUUCAGUGCCGCAGCUAACGCAUUAAGCACUCCGCCUGGGGAGUACGACCGCAAGGUUGAAACUCAAAGGAAUUGACGGGGGCCCGCACAAGCGGUGGAGCAUGUGGUUUAAUUCGAAGCAACGCGAAGAACCUUACCAGGUCUUGACAUCCCUUGACCACUCUAGAGAUAGAGCUUUCCCUUCGGGGACAAAGUGACAGGUGGUGCAUGGUUGUCGUCAGCUCGUGUCGUGAGAUGUUGGGUUAAGUCCCGCAACGAGCGCAACCCUUAUUACUAGUUGCCAGCAUUAAGUUGGGCACUCUAGUGAGACUGCCGGUGACAAACCGGAGGAAGGUGGGGACGACGUCAAAUCAUCAUGCCCCUUAUGACCUGGGCUACACACGUGCUACAAUGGCUGGUACAGAGAGAUGCAAUACCGUGAGGUGGAGCCAAACUUUAAAACCAGACUCAGUUCGGAUUGUAGGCUGAAACUCGCCUACAUGAAGCCGGAGUUACUAGUAAUCGCGAAUCAGAAUGUCGCGGUGAAUACGUUCCCGGGUCUUGUACACACCGCCCGUCA